AUUGGGUGGUCUUUGCCGGUUGGGGAUAUUUCGCAAGCAUAUUCACGUUGCUAUUUGAAAAUUGUUUGCGUUGUAGAUUCCUUCGUGGAUUGUAAGGGUUUAAUUUUUUAAAUUUGAUUUGAGAACCUGAAAAUAUUCUUUUAAUUAAAUUUUAUCAUAAAAUAUGCAAGGAAUAAGUUUAUAUAAGGUUUCAACCUUAUACAGUAGAAACAAGUUGCACCUUGGGAAUUCAGUGAAAAAUUGGAAAACGUUCCAAUUUAUUAGUUUGACCUCGAGAUGUAUCAAUUUGAAGAAAAAACAGGAAUUUAAAGUCUUAAAAAUAAUGCACAAUUAUUUUCAAGAUUUUGAAGUGUAUAAACAUAUGGUCGAUAUGUAUUAUUUUUGGAAUUUUAAAUUUUAUAAUUGAGGUUGAACCUGAAUUUUCAAGUUAUUGUAUGGUUUUUGACACUGGAACUACGUCUUUUGUUGAAGUUUAGAUGUGAGCCUUACUUUUAUAGUAUAAGAUGGGCAACCUAUACAAACCUUAUCUAGUAAAUAAAUGCUAUAAAACCACAAAAGCACGAGACUUUGGAUUGGAAAUUAGUGGGAACUGAUCUAGUUCUCAUUUGGAAUGAAGAAUUGGUUGUUCCUCACAAAACUGACUAGUUAUGUCCGAGAACAAUCAAAUAAGUUGGGUGGUUUCCAUAUUUUUUAUUUUUGUAAUUUUUGACUUUUUUAAUUUAUAAAUUUUAUUUUUUUAUUGUCCGAUUCUCUCCUCCGGAUAACCAAUUCUUAAUUCGAACCAGUUUCCUAGAUGACCAGCUUGCCCGACCGAUCCAAUUUUUUAAGCGUUGCUUCGAGCAUACAGUGCCCGGACCAGUCAGAUUCUUCGAGAUAGGAGAGGAGAAGGGCCACUGUCGUCUAAGGUAAAGACAGUGACGAGCAGACAGGAGGACAG
RNAcentral lists this long non-coding RNA (937 nucleotides) under Amborella trichopoda. RNAcentral's name for it is "long non-coding RNA (ATRI_LNC000650)". The record is from RNAcentral. Lineage: Eukaryota; Viridiplantae; Streptophyta; Magnoliopsida; Amborellales; Amborellaceae.